GCCGAAGUGGCGGAACUGGCAGACGCGCUACGUUCAGGGCGUAGUCCUCUUACGAGGGUAUGGGUUCGACUCCCUUCUUCGGCA
This 84-nucleotide transfer RNA is filed under the name Anaerolineaceae bacterium. RNAcentral describes it as "tRNA-Leu". It matches the Rfam family "tRNA". From Rfam's summary of the family: Transfer RNA (tRNA) molecules are approximately 80 nucleotides in length. Their secondary structure includes four short double-helical elements and three loops (D, anti-codon, and T loops). The record is from RNAcentral. RNAcentral also lists the same sequence under 2 other names. Lineage: Bacteria; Bacillati; Chloroflexota; Anaerolineae; Anaerolineales; Anaerolineaceae.